UGACCUUUAUGUUUUGGUAUGAACACGGA
This 29-nucleotide non-coding RNA is filed under the name Mus musculus (house mouse). Lineage: Eukaryota; Metazoa; Chordata; Mammalia; Rodentia; Muridae. The record is from RNAcentral.